CCUACGGGAGACUGCAGUGGGGAAUAUUGCACAAUGGGGGAAACCCUGAUGCAGCGACGCCGCGUGAGUGAAGAAGUAUUUCGGUAUGUAAAGCUCUAUCAGCAGGGAAGAAAGUGACGGUACCUGAUUAAGAAGCCCCGGCUAACUACGGGCCAGCAGCCGCGGUAAUACGUCGGGGGCAAGCGUUAACCGGAUGUACUGGGUGGAAAGGGAGCGUAGACGGCAGCACAAGUCUGGCGUGAAAUGCCGGGGCUCAACCCCGGAACUGCUUUGGAAACUGUGCAGCUAGAGUGCCGGAGAGGUAAGUGGAAUUCCUAGUGUAGCGGUGAAAUGCGUAGAUAUUAGGAGGAACACCAGUGGCGAAGGCGGCUUACUGGAAUGUAACUGACGUUGAGGCUCGAAAGCGUGGGGAGCAAACAGGAUUAGAUACCCGGGUAGUC
RNAcentral lists this ribosomal RNA (440 nucleotides) under uncultured bacterium. Its description in RNAcentral is "partial 16S ribosomal RNA". It matches the Rfam family "Bacterial small subunit ribosomal RNA", at positions 338 to 795 of the family's 1533-position model. The record is from RNAcentral.